This 428-nucleotide ribosomal RNA is filed under the name uncultured bacterium. Its description in RNAcentral is "partial 16S ribosomal RNA". It matches the Rfam family "Bacterial small subunit ribosomal RNA", at positions 354 to 796 of the family's 1533-position model. The record is from RNAcentral.
GUGGGGAAUAUUGGGCAAUGGGCGCAAGCCUGACCCAGCAACGCCGCGUGAGGGAAGAAGGCUUUCGGGUUGUAAACCUCUGUCCUUGGUGACGAAACAAAUGACGGUAGCCAAGGAGGAAGCCCCGGCUAACUACGUGCCAGCAGCCGCGGUAAUACGUAGGGGGCGAGCGUUGUCCGGAAUUACUGGGCGUAAAGGGUGCGUAGGUGGCCUUUUAAGUUGGAUGUGAAAUACCCGGGCUUAACUUGGGGGGUGCAUCCAAAACUGGGAGGCUAGAGUGCAGGAGAGGAAAGCGGAAUUCCUAGUGUAGCGGUGAAAUGCGUAGAUAUUAGGAGGAACACCAGUGGCGAAGGCGGCUUACUGGACUGUAACUGACGUUGAGGCUCGAAAGCGUGGGGAGCAAACAGGAUUAGAAACCCUAGUAGUCC